This 756-nucleotide ribosomal RNA is filed under the name Triticum aestivum (bread wheat). RNAcentral describes it as "partial small subunit ribosomal RNA". The record is from RNAcentral. Lineage: Eukaryota; Viridiplantae; Streptophyta; Magnoliopsida; Poales; Poaceae.
AUGAGCUUUCUCGCCGGGCGCCUCGCCGCCCAGGAGGGCGCCUACUUCCUGCAGGAGUCCAAGCUCGCCGCCGGGCGCCUCGCGGCGAAGCUCCCCGCGUCCGCGCGUGGGCCCAGGCCGGCGUCCCCGCCUCCGUCGCCCGACGUGCUCCCGGAGAUCCUCCGCCACUCCGUGCCCAUCAGGCCGACGCCGCCUCCUGCCGACCCCACCCUCUACGGCUCCACCCGCUGGGCCCUCCCACAGGGCGGCGCCGAGGCCGCUGGGGUGUCCCCCGACGUGCUCAACCCGCUUCGCUCGUACGUCGCCCUGCCGCAGGCCACCUUCGGCCCCAAAAGAUGGGAACUUCCAACUGAGCAGCCUUACUACUCAGCGGCAACUGCCAAUGAGCGGCGGCGUGAUAUGCACCCUCCUCCCAUGGAUCCUGAGAAGUUGAAGGCUGUAAUUGCUGGAUACUCACAGGUUGGAAAGGCAUUUCUUGCUGGCACUAUAUUGGUGUUUGGAGGAGCAACAGCUGUGUUGUUGUAUACGGCGAAUAAACUACAGUUGCAUUCAGUAGACGACGUCAGAGCUAAAGGAAAAGACGCAGUGCAACCACAUGCCGAUAUGAUCAAAGAACAGAUAGCUCCACUAAGGAAAUGGGCUGAAGGCACAUCCCGAAAAUGGCAUUACGAAGGCGACAGAGAGUCCGGGGAGAAGUCUGUCCUUGUUAGAGAGCUUUCAAGGGCACUUGGUUCUAAGACGCGUCCUCCGAAUUGA